Molecule: ribosomal RNA, 475 nt
Filed under: uncultured bacterium
Lineage: Bacteria
Description: bacterial SSU rRNA
Rfam family: Bacterial small subunit ribosomal RNA
Source: RNAcentral
GAUGAACGCUGGCGGCGUGCUUAACACAUGCAAGUCGAACGAAGAUGCCGGAGUGCUUGCACUUUGGCAGACUGAGUGGCGGACGGGUGAGUAACGCGUGAGGAACCUGCCUUGAAGAGGGGGACAACAGUUGGAAACGACUGCUAAUACCGCAUGAAGCAUAGGGGUCGCAUGAUCUUUAUGCCAAAGAUUUAUCGCUUCAAGAUGGCCUCGCGUCUGAUUAGCUGGUUGGCGGGGUAACGGCCCACCAAGGCGACGAUCAGUAGCCGGACUGAGAGGUUGAACGGCCACAUUGGGACUGAGACACGGCCCAGACUCCUACGGGAGGCAGCAGUGGGGAAUAUUGCACAAUGGGCGCAAGCCUGAUGCAGCAACGCCGCGUGGAGGAAGACGGUUUCGGAUUGUAAACUCCUGUUCUUAGUGAAGAAUAAUGACGGUAGCUAAGGAGCAAGCCACGGCUAACUACGUGCCAGCA